Molecule: ribosomal RNA, 439 nt
Filed under: uncultured bacterium
Lineage: Bacteria
Description: bacterial SSU rRNA
Rfam family: Bacterial small subunit ribosomal RNA
Source: RNAcentral
UACGGAAGGCAGCAGUGGGGAAUAUUGCACAAUGGGCGCAAGCCUGAUGCAGCCAUGCCGCGUGUAUGAAGAAGGCCUUCGGGUUGUAAAGUACUUUCAGUCGUGAGGAAGGUGUUAAGGUUAAUAACCUUAGCAAUUGACGUUAGCGACAGAAGAAGCACCGGCUAACUCCGUGCCAGCAGCCGCGGUAAUACGGAGGGUGCGAGCGUUAAUCGGAAUUACUGGGCGUAAAGGGCACGCAGGCGGUUAAUUAAGUUGGAUGUGAAAUCCCCGGGCUUAACCUGGGAAUGGCAUUCAAGACUGGUUAGCUAGAGUCUUGUAGAGGGGGUAGAAUUCCAUGUGUAGCGGUGAAAUGCGUAGAGAUGUGGAGGAAUACCGGUGGCGAAGGCGGCCCCUGGGACAAAGGCUGACGCUCAUGUGCGAAGCGUGGGGAGCAAAC